Molecule: ribosomal RNA, 515 nt
Filed under: uncultured bacterium
Lineage: Bacteria
Description: partial 16S ribosomal RNA
Rfam family: Bacterial small subunit ribosomal RNA
Source: RNAcentral
GACGAACGCAGGCGGCGUGCCUAAUACAUGCAAGUCGAGCGAAUGGAUUAAGAGCUUGCUCUUAUGAAGUUAGCGGCGGACGGGUGAGUAACACGUGGGUAACCUGCCCAUAAGACUGGGAUAACUCCGGGAAACCGGGGCUAAUACCGGAUAACAUUUUGAACCGCAUGGUUCGAAAUUGAAAGGCGGCUUCGGCUGUCACUAAUGGAUGGACCCGCGUCGCAUUAGCUAGUUGGUGAGGUAACGGCUCACCAAGGCAACGAUGCGUAGCCGACAUGGGAGGGUGAUCGGCCACACUGGGACGGAGACACGGCCCAGACUCCUACGGGAGGCAGCAGUAGGGAAUCUUCCGCAAUGGACGAAAGUCUGACGGAGCAACGCCGCGUGAGUGAUGAAGGCUUUCGGGUCGUAAAACUCUGUUGUUAGGGAAGAACAAGUGCUAGUUGAAUAAGCUGGCACCUUGACGGUACCUAACCAGAAAGCCACGGCUAACUACGUGCCAGCCGCCGCCGUAA